CCCUCCAGAUACAAGUUCCAGUGUGGCGAUUGAACAGCUCAGAUUUGUAAACCCACUGUCGACAUUGCAGGAGGGUCUUUAUGUGAUGCGCACCUCGACUGGCCGACUCUACGCUAGGAGCUACGAACGUGAACAAACGCCACCGGUCCAAGAAGGAGUGUUUGUUGUGCGUAGGUGUUCCAUAAGUGGUGUGUGUGGCUAUUCAAAGAAAUCACCAGAGCAACGCAUUGUUUUCCAGA
Long non-coding RNA from Sycon ciliatum, 239 nucleotides. RefSeq lists it as uncharacterized. Lineage: Eukaryota; Metazoa; Porifera; Calcarea; Leucosolenida; Sycettidae. The record is from RefSeq and is a predicted model, not a curated record. The transcript is spliced from 3 exons.